CGGGGGGAGCAAGCGUUGUUCGGAUUUACUGGGCGUAAAGGGCGCGUAGGCGGCCACCGCAAGUCGACUGUGAAAUCUCCGGGCUUAACCCGGAAAGGUCAGCCGAUACUGCGGGGCUAGAGUGCAGAAGGGGCAACUGGAAUUCUCGGUGUAGCGGUGAAAUGCGUAGAUAUCGAGAGGAACACCUGCGGCGAAGGCGGGUUGCUGGGCUGACACUGACGCUGAGGCGCGAAAGCUAGGGGAGCGAACGGGAUUAGAUACCCCGGUAGUCCUAGCCUUAAACGACGAAUGCUUGGUGUCUGGGGUUUUAUAGUCCCCGGGUGCCGUCGCUAACGCUUUAAGCAUUCCGCCUGGGGAGUACGGUCGCAAGACUG
RNAcentral lists this ribosomal RNA (374 nucleotides) under uncultured organism. Its description in RNAcentral is "bacterial SSU rRNA". It matches the Rfam family "Bacterial small subunit ribosomal RNA", at positions 526 to 896 of the family's 1533-position model. The record is from RNAcentral.